RNAcentral lists this ribosomal RNA (227 nucleotides) under uncultured bacterium. RNAcentral's name for it is "partial 16S ribosomal RNA". It matches the Rfam family "Bacterial small subunit ribosomal RNA", at positions 112 to 334 of the family's 1533-position model. The record is from RNAcentral.
CGGACGUAGGUAACCUGCCUGGUAGCGGGGGGUAACUAUUGGAAACGAUAGCUAAUACCGCAUAAGAGUAGAUGUUGCAUGACAUUUGCUUAAAAGGUGCAAUUGCAUCACUACCAGAUGGACCUGCGUUGUAUUAGCUAGUUGGUGGGGUAACGGCUCACCAAGGCGACGAUACAUAGCCGACCUGAGAGGGUGAUCGGCCACACUGGGACUGAGACACGGCCCAG